UGCUGCUGUUUUGGAGACAAAUUCAAGCUCACAGAGAAACAGAUUUGUUCUUCUGGUCUCAUGCUCUAUCUCUUGUUUCCAAGCUCCUCUCCAAAGACACACGCCUCAGCGUCCCACCCUUCCCUCCUAGACGGGUACUUGCAGAACUCAUGCAACACCCUGUGUCGAGCUGGGGUGGACUCUUGAGCGACAUCUUUGGAUUGGGGCUCUGGCCUGAGUGUAUUAGCAGCCUGAAGCUAGAAUUCUUUAACCUUUAGAGUCAUGGAGAGCACUAGUUCACAAACCUGCUGGAGGGUUUUGUUGCCUGACAUCUUGUUAGAAGAUGAACGAGAAGCAUAGGCCUUUGCCAACAGUUGGAGGGUUAAAAGAAGAAAGAAAGCAAGGGGAAACCAUACAAGAGCAAGCUGAACAGGCAUUUACAGAAGAAGAAGAAGAGGAAGAGGAGGAAGAGGAGGAGGAGGAGGAGGAGGAAGAGGAGGAGGAGGAGGAAAAGAGGAGGCUGGAGAAAUAACUCAAAGUGACAGCUUCAAAGGCUGAUAAAUGCCCACAGCUGGAUCACUCCGGACCAGUGAGAUUUACUCCCGAGGCUUUGGUGUCUGUGUGGUGGAGCAUGCCAAUUCUCUCUUCUCGAUUCAUCUAAAGCUGGGAGGAAGUGAGACUGGAGAUGCAGUAGCCACAGCCUCAGGUGAAUGGGGAAAUGCAGCUACACACAAGUUACUCGUUUGUCAAGGAGGUGCAUUUUAUGACACAUAGAAGAUCAAAGAACUCCAUCAGUAUUUCUUCUGAAUUGGUAAGA
This is a long non-coding RNA of Rattus norvegicus (Norway rat), 796 nucleotides long. RefSeq lists it as uncharacterized. Lineage: Eukaryota; Metazoa; Chordata; Mammalia; Rodentia; Muridae. The record is from RefSeq and is a predicted model, not a curated record.